Molecule: ribosomal RNA, 483 nt
Filed under: uncultured bacterium
Lineage: Bacteria
Description: partial 16S ribosomal RNA
Rfam family: Bacterial small subunit ribosomal RNA
Source: RNAcentral
AUUGAACGCUGGCGGCAUGCUUUACACAUGCAAGUCGAACGGCAGCGCGGGCUUCGGCCUGGCGGCGAGUGGCGAACGGGUGAGUAAUGCAUCGGAACGUGCCCAGUAGUGGGGGAUAGCCUGGCGAAAGCCGGAUUAAUACCGCAUACGACCUGAGGGUGAAAGCGGGGGACCGAAAGGCCUCGCGCUAUUGGAGCGGCCGAUGUCGGAUUAGCUAGUUGGUGGGGUAAAGUCUUACCAAGGCGACGAUCCGUAGCUGGUCUGAGAGGACGACCAGCCAAACGGGGACUAAGCCACGGCCAGGACCCCUCCGGGGGGCAGAAGUGGGAAAUUUUGGCAAAUGGGGGAAACCUGAAUCAGGCCAGGCGGCGGGGGGGAAGAAGGCUUCGGGUUGUAAAACGCUUUUGUUCGGGAAGAAAUCCUCUGGGCUAAUACCCCGGGGGGAUGACGGUACCGGAAGAAUAAGCACCGGCUAACUACGUG